RNAcentral lists this ribosomal RNA (460 nucleotides) under uncultured bacterium. Its description in RNAcentral is "partial 16S ribosomal RNA". It matches the Rfam family "Bacterial small subunit ribosomal RNA", at positions 338 to 795 of the family's 1533-position model. The record is from RNAcentral.
CCUACGGGUGGCAGCAGUGAGGAAUAUUGGUCAAUGGACGAGAGUCUGAACCAGCCAAGUAGCGUGAAGGAUGACUGCCCUAUGGGUUGUAAACUUCUUUUAUAUGGGAAUAAAAUGUUCCACGUGUGGGAUUUUGUAUGUACCAUAUGAAUACGGAUCGGCUAACUCCGUGCCAGCAGCCGCGGUAAUACGGAGGAUCCGAGCGUUAUCCGGAUUUAUUGGGUUUAAAGGGAGCGUAGGUGGAUUGUUAAGUCAGUUGUGAAAGUUUGCGGCUCAACCGUAAAAGUGCAGUUGAAACUGGCAGUCUUGAGUACAGUAGAGGUGGGCGGAAUUCGUGGUGUAGCGGUGAAAUGCUUAGAUAUCACGAAGAACUCCGAUUGCGAAGGCAGUUCACUGGACUGCAACUGACACUGAGGCUCGAAAGUGUGGGUAUCAAACAGGAUGAGAUACCCCUGUAGUC